GACGGUGGCACGGCUGGGUCGGAGGAGCCAGGAGCCAAGGCCCGUGGGCGUGGGUGGAAACCCAGCGCCAAGGCCAGGGGUGACAGAGCUGCUACCCUGGAGGAAGGGAACCCAACAGACGAAGUCCCCAGUACCCCCUUAGCCCUGGAGCCGAGCAGCACCCCAGGUUCCAAGAAGAGCCCCCCAGAGCCUGUGGACAAGCGAGCCAAGGCCCCCAAGAUGAGGACUCUUCCUGCAGCUCGGACGAUGAGGCAGCCCCCGCCCCCACGGCUGGCCCUUCUGCGCAGGCGGCGCUCCCCACCAAGGCCACCAAGCAGGCUGGCAAGGCGCGGCCCUCGGCCCACUCCCCAGGCAAGAAGACGCCCGCGCCCCAGCCCCAGGCGCCUCCUCCGCAGCCCACACAGCCUCUGCAGCCCAAGACUCAGGCUGGGGCCAAGAGCCGACCCAAGAAGAGAGAGGGCGUCCACCUCCCCACCACCAAGGAGCUGGCCAAGCGGCAGCGCCUGCCGUCCGUGGAGAACCGGCCCAAGAUUGCCGCCUUCCUGCCAGCCUGACAGCUCUGGAAGUGGUUCGGCAAG
Molecule: long non-coding RNA, 578 nt
Filed under: Homo sapiens (human)
Lineage: Eukaryota; Metazoa; Chordata; Mammalia; Primates; Hominidae
Description: non-protein coding lnc-ZNF680-36:1
Source: RNAcentral